Molecule: ribosomal RNA, 301 nt
Filed under: uncultured bacterium
Lineage: Bacteria
Description: partial 16S ribosomal RNA
Rfam family: Bacterial small subunit ribosomal RNA
Source: RNAcentral
CAGUCGCCACGGUAAUACGUAGGGUGCAAGCGUUAAUCGGAAUUACUGGGCGUAAAGCGUGCGCAGGCGGUUCGCUAAGACAGAUGUGAAAUCCCCGGGCUUAACCUGGGAACUGCAUUUGUGACUGGCGGGCUAGAGUAUGGCAGAGGGGGGGUAGAAUUUCACGUGUAGCAGUGAAAUGCGUAGAGAUGUGGAGGAGUACCGAUGGCGAAGGCAGCCCCCUGGGCCAAUACUGACGCUCAUGCACGAAAGCGUGGGGAGCAAACAGGAUUAGAUACCCGCGUAGUCCCUGUCUCUUAUU